Ruditapes philippinarum (Manila clam) is the source of this 858-nucleotide long non-coding RNA. RefSeq lists it as uncharacterized. The record is from RefSeq and is a predicted model, not a curated record. Lineage: Eukaryota; Metazoa; Mollusca; Bivalvia; Venerida; Veneridae. The transcript is spliced from 2 exons.
GUGACGUCAUUAACCGUUACUUUGAUUUGUUUUUGCCUUGGGCGGAAGUGCUUAAAAUUGUUGAUGUAUUUUGUUUAUUGAUGUUUCCCAAUGGAAAGUAGAUCAUAAUCGAUGAAGCUGGGCAUGGAAAGUUUCGUUGUUUGGUUUUUCAUUAACAUUGCUAUCAUAAGUGUGCAUGGUGCGGCGCAUUCCUCCACGACAUGUAUUCACGCAUGUGGAAACACAGUUUCAACUAACUUGCGACAGACGUGUCGCGAAUGCUCUGCCAACCCACCCAUUGGCUACGACAUGUGCACUAACGCGUGCGGCAAUACCUUUUCAAGCUACCUCAAGCAGAUAUGUGAUAACUGUGUAACAAGCGUAUCUUUGACUGACAGAAUGUGUAUAAAAGCUUGUGGCAACACGUUUACUAGUCAAUAUCGGCAUAUAUGCAACCGAUGUGUUCAGACUCCACCAAUAACGGACACCCUGUGUAUACAUGCGUGUGCGAACACAGUUUCAUCAAACCUAAGAGCAGUAUGUCGGAAAUGUGUUUUAAGACCGUCAUUUACUGAUGAAAUGUGCAUACAUGCAUGUGACAAUACAUUUUCCUCGAACUUUAGAAAGAUAUGCAAUGCUUGUAGUUAAACAGUUAUUUCUUGAGUUGUUAUUAUUUUUACUUUCUUAAAAUCUAAGUACAUUUUUCUCAAGGUUGAUUUUCUUGAACUAGUUUGGAGGCAAGCAGCUUUAACAUAUUUAAUCAGCAGUUAGGAUGCGUUAACAAUACAAAAUAAUGGCAUAUUGAACAAAGUUAGUCUAUUAUUUAGCAUAAAGAUAUUUUGAUAAAAAAUUUGUGUUGAAUUAAAGUCUUGAGUUCAA